This 253-nucleotide ribosomal RNA is filed under the name uncultured bacterium. RNAcentral describes it as "partial 16S ribosomal RNA". It matches the Rfam family "Bacterial small subunit ribosomal RNA", at positions 524 to 776 of the family's 1533-position model. The record is from RNAcentral.
UACAGAGGUCCCAAGCGUUGUUCGGAUUCACUGGGCGUAAAGGGUGCGUAGGUGGUGAGGUAAGUCGGAUGUGAAAUCUCCGAGCUCAACUCGGAAAUGGCAUUGGAAACUACCUCGCUCGAGGGUUGGAGGGGGGACUGGAAUGCUUGGUGUAGCAGUGAAAUGCGUAGAUAUCAAGCGGAACACCAGUGGCGAAGGCGAGUCCCUGGACAACUCCUGACACUGAGGCACGAAAGCUAGGGGAGCAAACAGG